This 206-nucleotide long non-coding RNA is filed under the name Gossypium raimondii (Peruvian cotton). RNAcentral describes it as "long non-coding RNA (GRAI_LNC000010)". Lineage: Eukaryota; Viridiplantae; Streptophyta; Magnoliopsida; Malvales; Malvaceae. The record is from RNAcentral.
UUUAAUAUGAACACUGAUCAACAAAAUCCAUUAAAAAAUACAAAAGAAAAUCUUCCACCUAAGCUAAACAUGAACAUAAAGAUCAUGCAGAACUGAUUAAAGAAAUCCAUUAAAAAAUUUUCCCUGGCUCAGCUCUCUGCAGAACUGAUUAAAGAAAUCUUGGUACUAUUUCAAUCAUGCAGGUCCUUUAAAAAAUAAAAGAAGAA